AGGAGCCGGCCAGCUCCCCAGCCCAGGCCGGGGGCCGCGCCGCCGCCUCCCCCAGCGUCGCCCCUCGCCUGCCUGCCCGCCUUAAAUGUGACACCGGUGCCUCGGAGUGCGACCCGAAGCCGCCACCGGGGAGGGGACGAGCACCAUGUUGAAUCUAAGCAAAGGCACGGGGAGCCGGAAGGACACCAAGAUGCGGAUCCGGGCCUUUCCGAAUCUUUCAUCCGCAACCUUCCAGUGUGCUUUACAACCUCCUGUGCAGGAAUGGCCUAGCCACUCAAGAGAAAACGAAUGGGACGGUUGGUUCUUCAUUUCCUAGCCAUGGAAGCCCAAAAGAAGAAGUAAUCACCACCAUUGUGAGGAGUGUCAGAACUUCUUGAUUGACAGCUGUGCUGCCCACAGGCCCCCGACCUUUGUAAAGGACUCUGCAGUGGAAAAUGUGCACGCCAAAUGCUCAGCCCUCACUCUGCCCCCUGGGUUAAGUAUCAGACCAUCAGGCAUCCCUGCGGCUGGGCUUGGAGCGUGGAGCGAAGCAUCUGAUCUGUCUUUGGGCCUGCACUUUGACCCCUAAGAGGGCCAGACGAUGAAGAGGCCACUAAUGGUGGAUGCUCCUUGGCUGGCUGAAGAGCAUCAGUGACAGCAGAGGGAAAUACCUCUUCUAUUAUUUGCUGCCAAAAAAAAAUCAGAGAAGAAAGCUUGUAUCUCUUUUCUGACACUCAGCUUACCAAAGGGAGAAACCACUAUGAGUAUGUGGGUGGAAAGGACACACCUUUGGUCAACUGGAUGAGGUAUGUGAACUGUGCCUGGGACGACGACGAGCAGAACCUGAUGGCCUUGCAGUAUGGCAGAUCUUCUACCAAAUCUGCCAGGUGGUCAGCCGGGCUGUGAACUUCAGGUCUGAUAUGCAGACGAGUGUGGCAAGGAACUUGGCGUCAAGCGGGACAGCAGGGAAAAGAGCGAGCUCGUGGCUGGGAAAGAACCAAAGCCUAAGAUCUACCCUGUGUAUCCGACUCUCUGGACUUCUCAAGUCAAAAAUUCCUCUCAGAUCCUCCUGAGACCAUCUGCAAGAGACCACCUCCAACCAGAGGAUCCCUGCCCGGUCAGUCAACAUCAGCAGCUGUGAUAUUCUGAUCCACACAGCCUGAGUGAAAAACUGGAGCAACGAGAGGGCAAAAAAGUCCCCAUCCUUCGAUGAAAGGCCGCACGUUUUGCAUAAGGCCGAAGAGGAUUUCAAUGGCCUCUUCCUACUCACCCAAAAGACAAAUGGGGGGUUCUGAGGUGCAUGAGAGAACGACAUAAGAGCCCAGCACAAGCCAGAAACUGAAUGCAGAAGAAACAGGCAAAUUACUUAUGGGGGCAGGGGUAUCAGGAAUUAUAAGACUCAAGUAUGGAGAGUGAGGGUAAGUCUCCAAGGAUAGGUAAAGUCUCAUCACAACCAGAGGACUCACACAUGGGAGGAGCCCUAUGUAUGUAGAAAGUGUGGACAAAGCGUCAGUCAGAAGUCCCAUCUCAUCAGACAACAGAAGACACACACAGGGGAGGAGCCCUAUGUCUGUGGGGAGUGUGGGCAAAAGUCAGUCAGAAGCGCAUCUCAUCAGAAAACAGAAGACACACACAGGGGAGAAGUCCUAUGUUUGAGGAGAGUGGUGCGAAGUUUCAGUGAGAAGUCGGGUGUCGUCACGCAGCAGGGGACAUACACCGGGUCGAAAGCAUAUGUUUGCAGGGAGUGUGGGUGAAGCAUCAGUUAGAAGUCAGUUCUCAUUAGAGACCAGGGGACACACAGGGGAGAAGCCCUGUUUGUGGGGUGCGAGGGUGAAGCUUCAGUGUGAGGUCCAAUCUCAUCAGACUGCAGAAGACACAUACAGGGAAGAAGCCCCGUGUUUGUGGAGAGUGUGGGCGAAGACUCAGAAGUCAGGUGUCCUCACACAGUAGGGUACACACAGAGAGGGUGUGGGGGAAGCUUCAGUUGGAAGUCAGUUCUUACAGACAAGAGGACAUAGGGGAAAGCCCUGUGGGUGUGGGUGAAGCUACAGUGUGAGAUCCAAUAUCAUCAGACUCCAGAAGACACA
This is a long non-coding RNA of Dama dama (fallow deer), 2066 nucleotides long. RefSeq lists it as uncharacterized. The record is from RefSeq and is a predicted model, not a curated record. NCBI's taxonomy places the organism in Eukaryota, Metazoa, Chordata, Mammalia, Artiodactyla, Cervidae. The transcript has 6 exons.